UGCAGCGCUGGUGGAAGGCGGUGAUCAGCUGCUGAAGCUGCAGGAACAAACUGCAGAUGUUGCAGUACGUGCAGCAGAGCUGCGGUAUUUCGUGCAGCGCAACCUCAAGGCGUCCAGGAAGCAAAUCUUGCCGCUCGUCAAACUUUUUGUCGAGCGAGAACUCAACUCGUCGCGUAGUUGAUCAUCUCUGCCUUGUGCGGGGAACAUGGUCUUGGGCUUGAGUCUGCGGUAGUUGUUGCGGUAGCUCGCCGCUGCCUUCGACGCCGCCUCCUGCAGACCAGGCGUGUUGUGAACCGCCAUAUGCGUCUGUAAUUAAUAUUGAUUAUUAGUAAUAUUUUCACCAAUA
Long non-coding RNA from Hyalella azteca, 346 nucleotides. RefSeq lists it as uncharacterized. NCBI's taxonomy places the organism in Eukaryota, Metazoa, Arthropoda, Malacostraca, Amphipoda, Hyalellidae. The record is from RefSeq and is a predicted model, not a curated record. The transcript has 2 exons.